AGGUGGAUUGGUAUUUGCCUAUGAUCCCAACUACUAGGAAGGCCAAGACUGGCACAUCUCUUAACACAGGAGCUCUUAGCACUGGUAGGUUAUGACCAUUGGGUGUACAUAUUAGGUUCAGCGUCAGUAUGAUGAGGUCCUGGGAGCAAGGGGUUACAAGGUUGCCUAAGAAAGGGUGAAAAUUCAGCCCAGUUUAGAAAAGGAGCUGGUCAAAGUUCCUGUGCUGAUCAGUAGUGGGAUUGCCCAGUGAAUAGCCCCUACACUUCUAGUGUGGGCAGGCUGGGGAGACUCAGUCUUUU
This 299-nucleotide signal recognition particle RNA is filed under the name Vombatus ursinus (common wombat). RNAcentral's name for it is "Metazoan signal recognition particle RNA (ENSVURG00010017211.1)". It matches the Rfam family "Metazoan signal recognition particle RNA". Rfam says of the family: The signal recognition particle (SRP) is a universally conserved ribonucleoprotein. The record is from Rfam by way of RNAcentral. Lineage: Eukaryota; Metazoa; Chordata; Mammalia; Diprotodontia; Vombatidae.